This 104-nucleotide transfer RNA is filed under the name Massarina eburnea CBS 473.64. It matches the Rfam family "tRNA". From Rfam's summary of the family: Transfer RNA (tRNA) molecules are approximately 80 nucleotides in length. Lineage: Eukaryota; Fungi; Ascomycota; Dothideomycetes; Pleosporales; Massarinaceae. The record is from Rfam by way of RNAcentral.
GCUUCGUUGGUGUAGUCGGUUAUCACGUCGGUCUCAUAGUAAGCUAUGACUGCUAGUUUCUAGUAGAUAUCCGAAGGCCGCCAGUUCGAAUCUGGCACGGAGCA